GAGUUUGAUCCUGGCUCAGGACGAACGCUGGCGGCACGCCUAACACAUGCAAGUCGAACGGAGAUAUUUUGGUUUACUGAGAUAUYUUAGUGGCGGACGGGUGAGUAACACGUGAGCAACCUGCCUYUGAGAGAGGGAUAGCUUCUGGAAACGGAUGGUAAUACCUCAUAACAUAACGAAGCCGCAUGACUUUGUUAUCAAAGAUUUAUCACUCAGAGAUGGGCUCGCGUCUGAUUAAAUAGUUGGUGAGGUAACGGCUCACCAAGUCGACGAUCAGUAGCCGGACUGAGAGGUUGAACGGCCACAUUGGGACUGAGACACGGCCCAGACUCCUACGGGAGGCAGCAGUGGGGAAUAUUGCACAAUGGGGGAAACCCUGAUGCAGCGAUGCCGCGUGGAGGAAGAAGGUUUUCGGAUUGUAAACUCCUGUCUAAAGGACGAUAAUGACGGUACUAGAAGA
This 460-nucleotide ribosomal RNA is filed under the name uncultured Bacillota bacterium. RNAcentral describes it as "bacterial SSU rRNA". The record is from RNAcentral. Lineage: Bacteria; Bacillati; Bacillota.